GACGAACGCUGGCGGCGUGCUUAACACAUGCAAGUCGAACGGAAAGGCCCUGCUUUUGUGGGGUGCUCGAGUGGCGAACGGGUGAGUAACACGUGAGUAACCUGCCCUUGACUUUGGGAUAACUUCAGGAAACUGGGGCUAAUACCGGAUAGGAGCUCCUGCUGCAUGGUGGGGGUUGGAAAGUUUCGGCGGUUGGGGAUGGACUCGCGGCUUAUCAGCUUGUUGGUGGGGUAGUGGCUUACCAAGGCUUUGACGGGUAGCCGGCCUGAGAGGGUGACCGGGCACAUUGGGACUGAGAGACGGCCCAGACGCCUACGGGAGGCAGCAGUGGGGAAUAUUGCACAAUGGGCGGAAGCCUGAGGCAGCAACGCCGCGUGCGGGAUGACGGCCUUCGGGGUGUAAACCGCUUUCGCCUGUGACGAAGCGUGAGUGACGGUAAUGGGUAAAGAAGCACCGGCUAACUACGUG
RNAcentral lists this ribosomal RNA (468 nucleotides) under uncultured bacterium. RNAcentral's name for it is "partial 16S ribosomal RNA". It matches the Rfam family "Bacterial small subunit ribosomal RNA", at positions 28 to 507 of the family's 1533-position model. The record is from RNAcentral.